GAUGAAGAACGCAGCGAAAUGCGAUAAGUAAUGUGAAUUGCAGAAUUCAGUGAAUCAUCGAGUCUUUGAACGCACAUUGCGCCCGUCAGUAUUCUGGCGGGCAUGCCUGUUCGAGCGUCAUUACGCCCCUCAAGUCCCCUGUGGACUUGGUGUUGGGGAUCGGCGAGGCUGGUUUUCCAGCACAGCCGUCCCUUAAAUUAAUUGGCGGUCUCGCCGUGGCCCUCCUCUGCGCAGUAGUAAAACACUCGCAACAGGAGCCCGGCGCGGUCCACUGCCGUAAAACCCCCCAACUUUUUAUAGUUGACCUCGAAUCAGGUAGGACUACCCGCUGAACUUAAGCAUAUCAAUAAGCGGAGGA
This 358-nucleotide unclassified non-coding RNA is filed under the name soil metagenome. Its description in RNAcentral is "partial contains 5.8S ribosomal RNA, internal transcribed spacer 2, and large subunit ribosomal RNA". The stretch from base 1 to 120 matches the Rfam family "5.8S ribosomal RNA", at positions 35 to 154 of the family's 154-position model. The record is from RNAcentral.